RNAcentral lists this ribosomal RNA (508 nucleotides) under uncultured bacterium. RNAcentral's name for it is "partial 16S ribosomal RNA". It matches the Rfam family "Bacterial small subunit ribosomal RNA", at positions 30 to 523 of the family's 1533-position model. The record is from RNAcentral.
AUUGAACGCUGGCGGCAUGCCUUACACAUGCAAGUCGAACGGCAGCGGGGGAGAAGCUUGCUUUUCCUGCCGGCGAGUGGCGAACGGGUGAGUAAUACAUCGGAACGUGCCCUGUAGUGGGGGAUAACUAGUCGAAAGAUUAGCUAAUACCGCAUACGACCUGAGGGUGAAAGUGGGGGACCGCAAGGCCUCAUGCUAUAGGAGCGGCCGAUGUCUGAUUAGCUAGUUGGUGGGGUAAAGGCCUACCAAGGCGACGAUCAGUAGCUGGUCUGAGAGGACGAUCAGCCACACUGGGACUGAGACACGGACCAGACUCCUACGGGAGGCAGCAGUGGGGAAUUUUGGACAAUGGGCGAAAGCCUGAUCCAGCAAUGCCGCGUGUGUGAAGAAGGCCUUCGGGUUGUAAAGCACUUUUGUCCGGAAAGAAAUGGCUCUGGUUAAUACCUGGGGUCGAUGACGGUACCGGAAGAAUAAGGACCGGUUAACUACGUGCCAGCAGCCGCGGUAA